Molecule: ribosomal RNA, 485 nt
Filed under: Porphyromonas cangingivalis
Lineage: Bacteria; Pseudomonadati; Bacteroidota; Bacteroidia; Bacteroidales; Porphyromonadaceae
Description: bacterial SSU rRNA
Rfam family: Bacterial small subunit ribosomal RNA
Source: RNAcentral
GAGUUUGAUUAUGGCUCAGGAUGAACGCUAGCGAUAGGCUUAACACAUGCAAGUCGAGGGGCAUCACGGGAUUAGCUUGCUAAUCUUGGUGGCGACCGGCGUAAGGGUGCGUAACGCGUAUGCAACUUGCCUGUCAGUGGGGAAUAACCCGGAGAAAUCCGGACUAAUACCGCAUACACUUUGGUUUCCGCAUGGGGACUUUAGGAAAGAUUUAUUGCUGACAGAUAGGCAUGCGUUCCAUUAGAUAGUUGGUGAGGUAACGGCUCACCAAGUCAACGAUGGAUAGGGGAGCUGAGAGGCUUAUCCCCCACACUGGAACUGAGACACGGUCCAGACUCCUACGGGAGGCAGCAGUGAGGAAUAUUGGUCAAUGGGCGAGAGCCUGAACCAGCCAAGUCGCGUGAAGGAAGACGGUCCUAUGGAUUGUAAACUUCUUUAGUAGGUGAGUACAAGCAGUUACGUGUAGCGUAGCAAGUACCUAGAAU